CGUAGGGUGCGAGCGUUAAUCGGAAUUACUGGGCGUAAAGCGUGCGCAGGCGGUUUUGUAAGACAGAUGUGAAAUCCCCGGGCUCAACCUGGGACCUGCAUUUGUGACUGCAAGGCUAGAGUACGGUAGAGGGGGAUGGAAUUCCGCGUGUAGCAGUGAAAUGCGUAGAUAUGCGGAGGAACACCGAUGGCGAAGGCAAUCCCCUGGACCUGUACUGACGCUCAUGCACGAAAGCGUGGGGAGCAAACAGGAUUAGGUACCCUGGUAGUCCACGCCCUAAACGAUGUCAACUGGUUGUUGGGUCUUUACUGACUCAGUAACGAAGCUAACGCGUGAAGUUGACCGCCUGGGGAGUACGGCCGCAAGGUUG
RNAcentral lists this ribosomal RNA (370 nucleotides) under uncultured organism. RNAcentral's name for it is "bacterial SSU rRNA". It matches the Rfam family "Bacterial small subunit ribosomal RNA", at positions 526 to 896 of the family's 1533-position model. The record is from RNAcentral.